GACGAACGCUGGCGGCGUGCUUAACACAUGCAAGUCGAACGGUAAGGCUCCAUCUUGCUGGGGUGCACGAGUGGCGAACGGGUGAGUAACACGUGGGUGACCUGCCCUGCACUUCGGGAUAAGCCUGGGAAACUGGGUCUAAUACCGGAUAGGAGCAUGGGGUGGAUGCUGUGGUGGAAAGUUUUUUCGGUGUGGGAUGUGGCCGCGGCCUAUCAGCUUGUGGGGGGGGUAAUGGCGUACCAAGGCGGCGACGGGUAGCCGGCCUGAGAGUGUGGACGGCCACAUUGGGACUGAGACACGGCCCAGACUCCUACGGGAGGCAGCAGUGGGGAAUAUUGCACAAUGGGCGGAAGCCUGAUGCAGCGACGCCGCGUGGGGGAUGACGGCCUUCGGGUUGUAAACCCCUUUCGCCCUCGACGAAGCGUUUCUGACGGUAAAUGGAGAAGAAGCACCGGCUAACUACGUG
Molecule: ribosomal RNA, 466 nt
Filed under: uncultured bacterium
Lineage: Bacteria
Description: partial 16S ribosomal RNA
Rfam family: Bacterial small subunit ribosomal RNA
Source: RNAcentral